Xenia sp. Carnegie-2017 is the source of this 586-nucleotide long non-coding RNA. RefSeq lists it as uncharacterized. The record is from RefSeq and is a predicted model, not a curated record. Lineage: Eukaryota; Metazoa; Cnidaria; Anthozoa; Malacalcyonacea; Xeniidae. The transcript has 2 exons.
GAUAAGCUAGAAAUGUUUGAAACAUGCACGCAAGCAUAGAAACAACGCUAUAGAGUUGAAUUGCAUCCAAGAUUUCAGAUAGGAGUACCUUCACGUAUCUAUCGAUGAAACACAUCGUUACUUCAAACUGUUAUAUAUGAUCAAACAUGAAGUUUUAUGUCGACAAGAGCCUAUGGAAGGACUUCACUUACGUCUACACAUGUCAAAACAGAGAAAUUCAACACAAACUCAAUCAAAAUGUUUCUAGUUUACUAAAUCUCUAGACUAUUCUAAUGUUCAUGAUCUUAGCAUGGUUGAAGCUACUGCAAACAUUCCAAUCAAUAAUUCAAGAAAAAAAUUCGCAUUUGCCAUUUUAUUGUCAUUCUUUUGACACUCACCCAAGCACAAAAGUACGACCAGAAAAUAAACUAUAGCAUAUAUUUUCGUGUGCUCGGCAAGCGUCAACAGAUAAAGGUUUUAUCGAUUGUAUUAGUGGCCGCACGCCAACUUGUGAUACCACACAAAGUCAAAAAUUUUCAAACCUAUUUAUAUGUGAACUACGUUGUGGUGUACAUUAAUAAAACUGGUCCAGUGGGCGAUACUUGAA